RNAcentral lists this ribosomal RNA (253 nucleotides) under uncultured bacterium. RNAcentral describes it as "partial 16S ribosomal RNA". It matches the Rfam family "Bacterial small subunit ribosomal RNA", at positions 524 to 776 of the family's 1533-position model. The record is from RNAcentral.
UACGGAGGGUGCAAGCGUUAUCCGGAUUCACUGGGUUUAAAGGGUGCGUAGGUGGGCAGGUAAGUCAGUGGUGAAAUCUCCGGGCUUAACCCGGAAACUGCCAUUGAUACUAUCAGUCUUGAAUACCGUGGAGGUAAGCGGAAUAUGUCAUGUAGCGGUGAAAUGCUUAGAUAUGACAUAGAACACCAGUUGCGAAGGCAGCUUACUACCCGAAUAUUGACACUGAGGUGCGAAAGCGUGGGGAGCAAACAGG